GGAUUAGAUACCCUGGUAGUCCACGCAGUAAACGAUGAGAACUAGCUGUGAUGUGUAGGGAGCAAUCUCUGCAUGACGUAGCGAAGCUAACGCGUUAAGUUCUCCGCCUGGGGAGUACGGCCGCAAGGUUAAAACUCAAAGGAAUUGACGGGGGCCCGCACAAGCGGUGGAGCAUGUGGUUUAAUUCGAUGCAACCCGAAGAACCUUACCUACCCUUGACAUCCUUGGAAGAAGGCAGAGAUGCUUUUGUGCCGAAAGGAACCAAGAGACAGGUGCUGCAUGGCUGUCGUCAGCUCGUGCCG
RNAcentral lists this ribosomal RNA (302 nucleotides) under uncultured bacterium. RNAcentral's name for it is "bacterial SSU rRNA". It matches the Rfam family "Bacterial small subunit ribosomal RNA", at positions 775 to 1067 of the family's 1533-position model. The record is from RNAcentral.